UACGUAGGGUGCGAGCGUUGUCCGGAAUUAUUGGGCGUAAAGGGCUCGUAGGCGGUUUGUCGCGUCGGGAGUGAAAUCCACUGGCUUAACUGGUGGCUUGCUUUCGAUACGGGCAGACUGGAGGUAUGCAGGGGAGAACGGAAUUCCUGGUGUAGCGGUGAAAUGCGCAGAUAUCAGGAGGAACACCGGUGGCGAAGGCGGUUCUCUGGGCCGAUACUGACGCUGAGGAGCGAAAGCGUGGGGAGCGAACAGG
RNAcentral lists this ribosomal RNA (253 nucleotides) under uncultured bacterium. RNAcentral describes it as "partial 16S ribosomal RNA". It matches the Rfam family "Bacterial small subunit ribosomal RNA", at positions 524 to 776 of the family's 1533-position model. The record is from RNAcentral.